GCUGUGGAACUCCUACGGGAGGCAGCAGUGGGGAAUUUUGGACAAUGGGGGCAACCCUGAUCCAGCAAUGCCGCGGGAGUGAAGAAGGCCUUCGGGGUGUAAAGCUCUUUUGUCAGGGAAGAAACGGUAGUAGCUAAUAUCCAUUACUAAUGACGGUACCUGAAGAAUAAGCACCGGCUAACUAGGUGCCAGCAACCGCGGUAAUACGUAGGGUGCAAGCGUUAAUCGGAAUUACUGGGCGUAAAGCGUGCGCAGGCGGUUGUGUAAGUCAGAUGUGAAAUCCCCGGGCGCAACCUGGGAAUUGCAUUUGAGACUGCACGGCGAGAGUGUGUCAGAGGGGAGUAGAAUUCCACGUGUAGCAGUGAAAUGCGUAGAUAUGUGGAGGAAUACCGAUGGCGAAGGCAGCCCCCUGGGAUAACACUGACGAUGAGGCACGAAAGCGUGGGGAGAAAACAGGAUUAGAUACCCGAGUAGUCCUACCACGU
This 485-nucleotide ribosomal RNA is filed under the name uncultured bacterium. Its description in RNAcentral is "bacterial SSU rRNA". It matches the Rfam family "Bacterial small subunit ribosomal RNA", at positions 327 to 800 of the family's 1533-position model. The record is from RNAcentral.